RNAcentral lists this ribosomal RNA (444 nucleotides) under uncultured cyanobacterium. RNAcentral's name for it is "bacterial SSU rRNA". It matches the Rfam family "Bacterial small subunit ribosomal RNA", at positions 28 to 521 of the family's 1533-position model. Lineage: Bacteria; Bacillati; Cyanobacteriota. The record is from RNAcentral.
GAUGAACGCUGGCGGCGUGCUUAACACAUGCAAGUCGAACGAACCUUCGGGUUAGUGGCGGACGGGUGAGUAACGCGCGAGAAUCUGCCCUCAGGAGGGGGAUAACGGCUGGAAACGGCCGCUAAUACCCCAUAUGCCGAGAGGUGAAAUGAAUUUCGCCUGAGGAUGAGCUCGCGUCUGAUUAGCUUGUUGGUGGGGUAAUGGCCUACCAAGGCGACGAUCAGUAGCUGGUCUGAGAGGAUGAUCAGCCACACUGGGACUGAGACACGGCCCAGACUCCUACGGGAGGCAGCAGUGGGGAAUUUUCCGCAAUGGGCGAAAGCCUGACGGAGCAACGCCGCGUGAGGGAUGAAGGCCUCUGGGCUGUAAACCUCUUUCUCAAGGAAGAAGAUCUGACGGUACUUGAGGAUAAGCCACGGCUAAUUCCGUGCCAGCCGCCGCGGU